GACGAACGCUGGCGGCGUGCUUAACACAUGCAAGUCGAACGGAAAGGCCCUGCUUUUGUGGGGUGCUCGAGUGGCGAACGGGUGAGUAACACGUGAGUAAACUGCCCUUUACUUUGGGGUAACUUCAGGAAACUGGAGCUAAUACCGGAUAGGAGCUCCUGCUGCAUGGGGGGGGAGGGAAAGUUUCGGCGGUUGGGGAUGGACGCGCGGCUUAUCAGCUUGUUGGUGGGGUAGUGGCGUAACAAGGCGUGGAGGGGUAGCCGGACUGGGAGGGUGACCGGCCACAUUGGGACUGGGAUACGGCCCAGACUCCUACGGGAGGCAGCAGUGGGAAAUAUUGCACGAUGGGCGGAAGCCUGAUGCAGCAACGCCGCGUGCGAGAUGACGGCCGUCGGGUUGGAAACCGCUUUCGCCUGUAAAGAAGCGUGAGUGACGGUAAUGGGUAAAGAAGCACCGGCUAACUACGUG
This 468-nucleotide ribosomal RNA is filed under the name uncultured bacterium. Its description in RNAcentral is "partial 16S ribosomal RNA". It matches the Rfam family "Bacterial small subunit ribosomal RNA", at positions 28 to 507 of the family's 1533-position model. The record is from RNAcentral.